This 1556-nucleotide ribosomal RNA is filed under the name Salmonella enterica. RNAcentral's name for it is "partial 23S ribosomal RNA". It matches the Rfam family "Bacterial large subunit ribosomal RNA", at positions 1261 to 2802 of the family's 2925-position model. The record is from RNAcentral. Lineage: Bacteria; Pseudomonadati; Pseudomonadota; Gammaproteobacteria; Enterobacterales; Enterobacteriaceae.
CUGUGAGGGUUGCUGGAGGUAUCAGAAGUGCGAAUGCUGACAUAAGUAACGAUAAAGCGGGUGAAAAGCCCGCUCGCCGGAAGACCAAGGGUUCCUGUCCAACGUUAAUCGGGGCAGGGUGAGUCGACCCCUAAGGCGAGGCCGAAAGGCGUAGUCGAUGGGAAACAGGUUAAUAUUCCUGUACUUGGUGUUACUGCGAAGGGGGGACGGAGAAGGCUAUGUUGGCCGGGCGACGGUUGUCCCGGUUUAAGCGUGUAGGCUGGUUUUCCAGGCAAAUCCGGAAAAUCAAGGCUGAGGCGUGAUGACGAGGCACUACGGUGCUGAAGCAACAAAUGCCCUGCUUCCAGGAAAAGCCUCUAAGCAUCAGGUAACAUCAAAUCGUACCCCAAACCGACACAGGUGGUCAGGUAGAGAAUACCAAGGCGCUUGAGAGAACUCGGGUGAAGGAACUAGGCAAAAUGGUGCCGUAACUUCGGGAGAAGGCACGCUGACACGUAGGUGAAGUGAUUUACUCACGGAGCUGAAGUCAGUCGAAGAUACCAGCUGGCUGCAACUGUUUAUUAAAAACACAGCACUGUGCAAACACGAAAGUGGACGUAUACGGUGUGACGCCUGCCCGGUGCCGGAAGGUUAAUUGAUGGGGUCAGCGCAAGCGAAGCUCCUGAUCGAAGCCCCGGUAAACGGCGGCCGUAACUAUAACGGUCCUAAGGUAGCGAAAUUCCUUGUCGGGUAAGUUCCGACCUGCACGAAUGGCGUAAUGAUGGCCAGGCUGUCUCCACCCGAGACUCAGUGAAAUUGAACUCGCUGUGAAGAUGCAGUGUACCCGCGGCAAGACGGAAAGACCCCGUGAACCUUUACUAUAGCUUGACACUGAACAUUGAGCCUUGAUGUGUAGGAUAGGUGGGAGGCUUUGAAGUGUGGACGCCAGUCUGCAUGGAGCCGACCUUGAAAUACCACCCUUUAAUGUUUGAUGUUCUAACGUGGACCCGUAAUCCGGGUUGCGGACAGUGUCUGGUGGGUAGUUUGACUGGGGCGGUCUCCUCCUAAAGAGUAACGGAGGAGCACGAAGGUUGGCUAAUCCUGGUCGGACAUCAGGAGGUUAGUGCAAUGGCAUAAGCCAGCUUGACUGCGAGCGUGACGGCGCGAGCAGGUGCGAAAGCAGGUCAUAGUGAUCCGGUGGUUCUGAAUGGAAGGGCCAUCGCUCAACGGAUAAAAGGUACUCCGGGGAUAACAGGCUGAUACCGCCCAAGAGUUCAUAUCGACGGCGGUGUUUGGCACCUCGAUGUCGGCUCAUCACAUCCUGGGGCUGAAGUAGGUCCCAAGGGUAUGGCUGUUCGCCAUUUAAAGUGGUACGCGAGCUGGGUUUAGAACGUCGUGAGACAGUUCGGUCCCUAUCUGCCGUGGGCGCUGGAGAACUGAGGGGGGCUGCUCCUAGUACGAGAGGACCGGAGUGGACGCAUCACUGGUGUUCGGGUUGUCAUGCCAAUGGCACUGCCCGGUAGCUAAAUGCGGAAGAGAUAAGUGCUGAAAGCAUCUAAGCACGAAACUUGCCCCGA